This 82-nucleotide ribosomal RNA is filed under the name Escherichia coli. RNAcentral describes it as "partial 16S ribosomal RNA". It matches the Rfam family "Bacterial small subunit ribosomal RNA", at positions 1 to 80 of the family's 1533-position model. RNAcentral also lists the same sequence under 2 other names. Lineage: Bacteria; Pseudomonadati; Pseudomonadota; Gammaproteobacteria; Enterobacterales; Enterobacteriaceae. The record is from RNAcentral.
UUAAAUUGAAGAGUUUGAUCAUGGCUCAGAUUGAACGCUGGCGGCAGGCCUAACACAUGCAAGUCGAACGGUAACAGAAAGC